CAGCCGCCACGGGAAUACGAAGGGGGCUAGCGUUGUUCGGAUUUACUGGGCGUAAAGCGCACGUAGGCGGACUUUUAAGUCAGGGGUGAAAUCCCGGGGCUCAACCCCGGAACUGCCUUUGAUACUGGAAGUCUUGAGUAUGGUAGAGGUGAGUGGAAUUCCGAGUGUAGAGGUGAAAUUCGUAGAUAUUCGGAGGAACACCAGUGGCGAAGGCGGCUCACUGGACCAUUACUGACGCUGAGGUGCGAAAGCGUGGGGAGCAAACAGGAUUAGAUACCCCAGUAGUCCCUGUCUCUUAUAC
This 301-nucleotide ribosomal RNA is filed under the name uncultured bacterium. Its description in RNAcentral is "partial 16S ribosomal RNA". It matches the Rfam family "Bacterial small subunit ribosomal RNA", at positions 509 to 807 of the family's 1533-position model. The record is from RNAcentral.